Molecule: small RNA, 419 nt
Filed under: Histoplasma ohiense
Lineage: Eukaryota; Fungi; Ascomycota; Eurotiomycetes; Onygenales; Ajellomycetaceae
Description: hypothetical lncRNA
Source: RNAcentral
AAGAACAUGCGGCAAACAGGGCCUCUGCGGAGACGAGUGGUGCGGAUGAGAAGCAAGGAAAUGAUGUGGAUAGUAGGACGAGUCGGGUUGGGAAGUGGGAGAGUGGUAAGGGCAGAUGUGCGGUUACCGGCCGCAGAGUACUGGGUGGAUCAGAGGGCUUGAGGAGGGUGCUUGUUUAAUUUUAUAAUUAUUAUUACUAAUAUGGAUAGAAUGUGUAGAGGCUAGUACCUCGGAGAAUGGGGGGAUAUGUGAUACAUAUUCAACUUUAAAAGCGGAGAAAAAAAAAACUGCACCAUAUCUAUAUGUAUAUAUACAUGGCGCAUUUUCUCGUCAAAAUAACCGUGACUACGAUUAAGAUAUCACUACGAUACUAUCUAUGCAAUAGAUCAUUGUAAUAAAUAUAUAUUCCACAUGGCAGC